Long non-coding RNA from Mastomys coucha (southern multimammate mouse), 512 nucleotides. RefSeq lists it as uncharacterized. NCBI's taxonomy places the organism in Eukaryota, Metazoa, Chordata, Mammalia, Rodentia, Muridae. The transcript has 3 exons. The record is from RefSeq and is a predicted model, not a curated record.
UCUUAGCUGCACUGUGAAUCUUUUGCUUUCUGCCCUAGGCUUCUCUAUCCUAGAUGUGAGAGAUGCCUGUGGGAACCUGUCCAGAUAUUCUGGUACAUGGACAGAUUCCAAAGGUGAAAAUAUUAAUAUUUCAUGUGACAUCGUUUGACCAGUGGAUGAUGGGAGACUGGACAGAUCUGCCUCCUCUCAAGUGGACAACCUUGGACCACAUUCUCCAGAGUCUCCAGUUGGAAACUCAGCAAAAAACAAGAAACAAGUUGACAUCUCAUAGACCUGUUGGUAGAAAUCCCUCACCACCAUGAAGGGAAGAAGAUGUUGUCCUCAAGAGACAUUUUGGAGUUUUGUGGAUCCGACUGGUAACUGAACGAGGAAUCUGCUGUCUUUUAUGGGUAGACUAGAUGGUUAGUAGGUUCUUAAAUGUUUCUUGAACUACUGUCCUCCCUUGACUGAUAAACCAAUAAGAUGCUCAAAAUGUUAAGUACAAAGCAAAUAAAUGUCCCUUAUAUACCCUA